CAUCUUUUCAAAUAUGUCGAGUUCAAUAACUAUAAUCAGUAAAGGAAAUAAAUAGUAUGUGUUUAUUUCAAUUCGCUGGUUUUUUGGAGUUUUAAAACCUUAACCAAUCAUUCUUUAGUUUUAUAGUUAUUAUUUGGUUCCCUGCUUAAUAAAGGCAUAAGUACUUGUAAAACUUCUAUAUCAACAGUUAAGUCCAUGUUUCUGAAGCAUGGGCUGAGCGUGCUCUAAUUAUUGCUCGGCUUGGGCGUGAAUUUCAUAUUCCUAGUCUAGAUAAAAAUUCAUUGAAUCGGUUGGUGCACGAGUGGGAGUAAUGAAACUUAUAAUCAAUUUGAUACUUAUCGUCUGGUGAAUUCUUUUGUUCAGUAAAAAAAACAGUGUAUAUCAUGGUUUAAGCUACCAAAGCAGUGCAAACGGAGCCAAAAUACUUUAAUUACGCUGCUACAGUAACAAUAAGAAGAGUUUUUGCGUAGGUUGUUUGAAAUGUCACAUUUAGGUGAUUCACAUGAGCCAUUUCAUUAAACUACCACGUUCUCUCAACCUUUCAACGUUAUUUAUACUCGACAGCAUUUGAAAUUAUCUAUUGCCCCUAUGAGAAAAAAGCAAUUUCCCACUUCAUGCUACCAUAUAUAAAAUCCAACCACGAACGUGUCAAUGUCGUGAGUAAAAUUAUUCAUUUAAUUUUAGAGCCAAGAAAUAUAGCUAAUAUUGAAUAGAAAUUGAUCUAGAAGAAAUAAAAUUCAUGGUACCACAAUGUGAGGCAUGAGAUUUGGAGACGCCAUAUAUACAGUAAUAAAUAUACUCAGCAACCAAAAAACGAUUGGAAAAACAAAGUGGUUGAAUCAGACAUAUUUAAAAUGU
Non-coding RNA from Schizosaccharomyces pombe (fission yeast), 858 nucleotides. The record is from the annotation of a GenBank genome assembly. NCBI's taxonomy places the organism in Eukaryota, Fungi, Ascomycota, Schizosaccharomycetes, Schizosaccharomycetales, Schizosaccharomycetaceae.